RNAcentral lists this long non-coding RNA (260 nucleotides) under Oryza brachyantha (malo sina). RNAcentral's name for it is "long non-coding RNA (OBRA_LNC003419)". The record is from RNAcentral. Lineage: Eukaryota; Viridiplantae; Streptophyta; Magnoliopsida; Poales; Poaceae.
UAAGCAAGCCAAAAAACAGGGUAAUUUUAGUAGUUAGCCUUCAUACCAGGUUCAAGCGAGCAAUUGUCCCUUUAUAUUAUAUAUUAUGUCUUCUGCAAUGCAUCGUCGAGAUGCUCGCCCAAACAUUGUCUUCGAUUUUAAAAGUUAGCCGGCAUUUAUGGGGGAAAAUUGUACACACUGCUAGAAAAAUUAUGACAAGCUAGUGAUGCAGGCCGAUAUCUCACUAUGAUUGAAUUUGGUGGACUCCAAUAUCUCAUAUA